Molecule: ribosomal RNA, 221 nt
Filed under: uncultured bacterium
Lineage: Bacteria
Description: partial 16S ribosomal RNA
Rfam family: Bacterial small subunit ribosomal RNA
Source: RNAcentral
CGACGUGGGGAACCUGCCCUAUACAGGGGGAUAACAGCUGGAAACGGCUGCUAAUACCGCAUAAGCGCACAGAAUCGCAUGAUUCAGUGUGAAAAGCCCUGGCAGUAUAGGAUGGUCCCGCGUCUGAUUAGCUGGUUGGUGAGGUAACGGCUCACCAAGGCGACGAUCAGUAGCCGGCUUGAGAGAGUGAACGGCCACAUUGGGACUGAGACACGGCCCAA